This 269-nucleotide ribosomal RNA is filed under the name Escherichia coli. Its description in RNAcentral is "partial 16S ribosomal RNA". It matches the Rfam family "Bacterial small subunit ribosomal RNA", at positions 524 to 796 of the family's 1533-position model. The record is from RNAcentral. RNAcentral also lists the same sequence under 1 other name. Lineage: Bacteria; Pseudomonadati; Pseudomonadota; Gammaproteobacteria; Enterobacterales; Enterobacteriaceae.
UACGGAGGGUGCAAGCGUUAAUCGGAAUUACUGGGCGUAAAGCGCACGCAGGCGGUUUGUUAAGUCAGAUGUGAAAUCCCCGGGCUCAACCUGGGAACUGCAUCUGAUACUGGCAAGCUUGAGUCUCGUAGAGGGGGGUAGAAUUCCAGGUGUAGCGGUGAAAUGCGUAGAGAUCUGGAGGAAUACCGGUGGCGAAGGCGGCCCCCUGGACGAAGACUGACGCUCAGGUGCGAAAGCGGGGGGAGCAAACAGGAGCGAACUGGUAGUCC